UUGAACGCUGGCGGAAUGCUUUACACAUGCAAGUCGAACGGCAGCACGGACUUCGGUCUGGUGGCGAGUGGCGAACGGGUGAGUAACAUAUCGGAACGUAUCCAAUAAUGGGGGAUAACUAAUCGAAAGGUUGGCUAAUACCGCAUACGCCCUACGGGGGAAAGCUAGGGAUCUUCGGACCUGGCGUUAAUGGAGCGGCCGAUAUCUGAUUAGCUAGUUGGUGGGGUAAAGGCCCACCAAGGCGACGAUCAGUAGCUGGUCUGAGAGGACGACCAGCCACACUGGAACUGAGACACGGUCCAGACUCCUACGGGAGGCAGCAGUGGGGAAUUUUGGACAAUGGGCGCAAGCCUGAUCCAGCCAUUCCGCGUGAGUGAAGAAGGCCUUCGGGUUGUAAAGCUCUUUCGCAAGGGAAGAAAACUUAUCCUCUAACAUAGGAUGAGGUUGACGGUACCUUGAUAAGAAGCACCGGCUAACUACGUGCCAGCAGCCGCGGUAAUACGUAGGGUGCGAGCGUUAAUCGGAAUUACUGGGCGUAAAGCGUGCGCAGGCUGUUUUGUAAGUCAGAUGUGAAAUCCCUGAGCUCAACUUAGGAACUGCGUUUGAAACUACAAGACUAGAAUAUGUCAGAGGGGGGUAGAAUUCCACGUGUAGCAGUGAAAUGCGUAGAGAUGUGGAGGAAUACCAAUGGCGAAGGCAGCCCCCUGGGAUAAUAUUGACGCUCAUGCACGAAAGCGUGGGGAGCAAACAGGAUUAGAUACCCUGGUAGUCCACGCCCUAAACGAUGUCUACUAGUUGUUGGUGGAGUAAAAUCCAUGAGUAACGCAGCUAACGCGUGAAGUAGACCGCCUGGGGAGUACGGUCGCAAGAUUA
RNAcentral lists this ribosomal RNA (873 nucleotides) under uncultured bacterium. Its description in RNAcentral is "bacterial SSU rRNA". It matches the Rfam family "Bacterial small subunit ribosomal RNA", at positions 29 to 896 of the family's 1533-position model. The record is from RNAcentral.